GGGGGGCUUGGCGCGGCGGCCACUGCGCGGAACGACGCUGCGGCACCCGCUCCAGACAUGCUGCUGCUGAAGAAACACACGGAGGACAUCAGCAGCGUCUACGAGAUCCGCGAGAGGCUCGGCUCGGGUGCCUUCUCCGAGGUGGUGCUGGCCCAGGAGCGGGGCUCCGCACACCUCGUGGCCCUCAAGUGCAUCCCCAAGAAGGCCCUCCGGGGCAAGGAGGCCCUGGUGGAGAACGAGAUCGCAGUGCUCCGUAGGAUCAGUCACCCCAACAUCGUCGCUCUGGAGGAUGUCCACGAGAGCCCUUCCCACCUCUACCUGGCCAUGGAACUGGUGACGGGUGGCGAGCUGUUUGACCGCAUCAUGGAGCGCGGCUCCUACACAGAGAAGGAUGCCAGCCAUCUGGUGGGUCAGGUCCUCGGCGCCGUUUCCUACCUGCACAGCCUGGGGAUCGUGCACCGGGACCUCAAGCCCGAAAACCUCCUGUAUGCCACGCCCUUUGAGGACUCGAAGAUCAUGGUCUCUGACUUUGGACUCUCCAAAAUCCAGGCUGGCAACAUGCUAGGCACCGCCUGUGGGACCCCUGGAUAUGUGGGUGAGGGACGACACCCUGAGGCUUGCUGGGAGUGGGGUGGCCUGGGGGACCCUAGACAGCCGGGAAGGCUGUUGUGCCCGUUGUCUUUGUGUGGGCCAUUCCUGGGCUUGAGUAGGCCGAGCCAGUGACACUGAGCGGCAUGGCUGCGUGUGUGCCUGUGCGUGCGUCUGUCUGUCUCUGGCCCCCAGCCCCAGAGCUCUUGGAGCAGAAACCCUACGGGAAGGCCGUAGAUGUGUGGGCC
RNAcentral lists this small RNA (836 nucleotides) under Pongo abelii (Sumatran orangutan). RNAcentral describes it as "retained intron". The record is from RNAcentral. Lineage: Eukaryota; Metazoa; Chordata; Mammalia; Primates; Hominidae.